Molecule: small RNA, 670 nt
Filed under: Pan troglodytes (chimpanzee)
Lineage: Eukaryota; Metazoa; Chordata; Mammalia; Primates; Hominidae
Description: retained intron
Source: RNAcentral
UCUGGCUGGUCUUCGAAACCUUGGGAACACGUGCUUCAUGAACUCAAUUCUGCAGUGCCUGAGCAACACUCGGGAGUUGAGAGAUUACUGCCUCCAGAGGCUCUACAUGCGGGACCUGCACCACGGCAGCAAUGCACACACAGCCCUCGUGGAAGAGUUUGCAAAACUAAUUCAGACUAUAUGGACUUCAUCCCCCAAUGAUGUGGUGAGCCCAUCUGAGUUCAAGACCCAGAUCCAGAGAUACGCACCGCGCUUUGUUGGCUAUAAGUAAGGGCCUUGCAGACAUGUCCUCUCAGGUGGGUGGCAGUAGGAGCAGGUUCUUAGGACAAGAGGUGUUGCUCACCCUCCUUCCUUUGGGUUCAGUCAGCAGGAUGCUCAGGAGUUCCUUCGCUUUCUUCUGGAUGGGCUCCAUAACGAGGUGAACCGAGUGACACUGAGACCUAAGUCCAACCCUGAGAACCUCGAUCAUCUUCCUGAUGACGAGAAAGGCCGACAGAUGUGGAGAAAAUAUCUAGAACGGGAAGACAGUAGGAUCGGGGAUCUCUUUGUUGGGCAGCUAAAGAGCUCGCUGACGUGUACAGAUUGUGGUUACUGUUCUACGGUCUUCGACCCCUUCUGGGACCUCUCACUGCCCAUUGCUAAGCGAGGUUAUCCUGAGGUGACAUUAAUG